RNAcentral lists this ribosomal RNA (490 nucleotides) under uncultured bacterium. RNAcentral describes it as "bacterial SSU rRNA". It matches the Rfam family "Bacterial small subunit ribosomal RNA", at positions 32 to 518 of the family's 1533-position model. The record is from RNAcentral.
AACGCUAGCGGCAGGCUAACACAUGCAAGUCGAGGGGCAUCGGGAGUAGCAAUACUGCCGGCGACCGGCGCAAGGGUGCGUAACGCGUGAGCAACAUGCCCGUAUCAGGGGGAUAAUCCAUGGAAACGUGGUCUAAUACCCCAUAGUAAUUAUGUAAGGCAUCUUAUAUAAUUUAAAGCUUUGGUGGAUACGGAUUGGCUCGCGUGACAUUAGCUGGAUGGUAAGGUAACGGCUUACCAUGGCUACGAUGUCUAGGGGUUCUGAGAGGAAGGUCCCCCACACUGGAACUGAGACACGGUCCAGACUCCUACGGGAGGCAGCAGUGAGGAAUAUUGGACAAUGGAUGGAAAUCUGAUCCAGCCAUGCCGCGUGCAAGGAAGACGGCCCUAUGGGUUGUAAACUGCUUUUGUAUGGGAGCAAUAAGGGCUACGUGUAGUCCGAUGAGAGUACCAUACGAAUAAGCACCGGCUAACUCCGUGCCAGCCGCCGC